GAUGAAGAACGUAGCGAAAUGCGAUAAGUAAUGUGAAUUGCAGAAUUCAGUGAAUCAUCGAAUCUUUGAACGCACAUUGCGCCCGCCAGUAUUCUGGCGGGCAUGCCUGUCUGAGCGUCAUUUCAACCCUCAUGCCCCUAGGGCGUGGUGUUGGGGAUCGGCCAAAGCCCGCGAGGGACGGCCGGCCCCUAAAUCUAGUGGCGGACCCGUCGUGGCCUCCUCUGCGAAGUAGUGAUAUUCCGCAUCGGAGAGCGAUGAGCCCCUGCCGUUAAACCCCAAACUUUCCAAGGUUGACCUCAGAUCAGGUAGGAAUACCCGCUGAACUUAAGCAUAUCAAUAAGCGGAGGA
This 348-nucleotide unclassified non-coding RNA is filed under the name soil metagenome. Its description in RNAcentral is "partial contains 5.8S ribosomal RNA, internal transcribed spacer 2, and large subunit ribosomal RNA". The stretch from base 1 to 120 matches the Rfam family "5.8S ribosomal RNA", at positions 35 to 154 of the family's 154-position model. The record is from RNAcentral.